This 21486-nucleotide long non-coding RNA is filed under the name Coffea arabica (coffee). RNAcentral's name for it is "long non-coding RNA (CARA_LNC003834)". Lineage: Eukaryota; Viridiplantae; Streptophyta; Magnoliopsida; Gentianales; Rubiaceae. The record is from RNAcentral.
UUGCACCUCUUGAGUGCCAGCACCACCAGCACCGCCACUAGUGCCACCACCGCUCAGCCAUUCUGGUGAAAAAAGGGGUUCAUAGUAGACUGUAAAAAUUUUAGUAUGAAGGCAUUAGUGCCAAAUAGACAUGAACUCCAUCAUGUUACAUAAAUCUUCAAUCAAUCACUUGUUGUUUUGGGCAUGUAAGAUAAAUGGUUGCUUUGAUUAUUCAUUAAUCUACUUUUCGUUUUCUGAUGUCUACACAUUUCCAUUGUAGCAUAAUUUUAGUCUUCCAUCAUCCUCUAUCAUGUUGGACUAUGCAAAAGAUGAAUUUGCUUAUCCUUGCACGACUCCUCCCAAUUUGAAAAGAGUAGGAGCAAGUCUCUUUCUCACAUGUGAAACUCAUGAACAAUACAGUUUGAAUCUGUAAUGAUUAAAGAAAUUAAAAAGGCUGGUUGAAAAUGCAUCAAAAAUCAAAACACACCUCCUCGGCCUAAUGCAUUGCUCACGGGACCAUUAAGGGGAGGUCGGACAUGGAAAGCCGGGGCCAUGAUGACAGGGCCGGAAAGAAAAAGUUAACAGAUGUGGGUCUCAAUUGCUGUUCAAGAAUCAGAGGGGUGUGCCAAUAGGGGAAGUCCCAACAGCCAGUGGAGGAAACCAGCAAUUUCUUGAAAACCAGUAGCUGCAUGUAUGGCUUGAAAGGGUUGGUUAAUAUUAACCAGCAAUUUCUUAAGCAAAACGAUUAUGCCGAGAGGUUUUUGUCUAGUGAUUAAAUUUUAAGAUUUAGAAAUUUAAAUUUAAAUCUUUUUGCUUUCCUUCUUGCUUUUUAAAUUACACCAUUUCCUUGCUAGAAAAGAGAAGAACAAUAUAUCCCACCAUUUUCUUGCUGGAAGAAAAGGAAGAAAAAAGGAAAAAGAUGAUGACAAGACAUAUCCCUAAAGCGUUUAUUUGCUGGUCAUUUUUCCUCUUCAAUUGAAUAAACACUUGGGAUCUAUUCAAAGAACAAACCUCAGGAUAGCUGGAAAACAUUUUGGAGACAUGCCAAUUGCUAUAGAUAAACUGUGGAAAGCGUGCUCCAAAAGGGACCUUUCAAGUAGUAGUGUGUCUACAUUCAUGGUAGGGUUAGAACAAAUAAUUGAUGGCUAAGGGUGAAAACUGCAGACAUGAAAUGGAUCAAAGUAACACUUUGGGGCACAAAAUCACCUUCAAAGGUACUUUCUUGAUUUUUGUUUGGACAAUAAAUCCUUGAGGUGGUGGUUGGUUCUUGUACAAUACUUGUCGGUUAUGAUCUGGAGAUGCAGCUUCAAUACGUUAGGCAAAGGUGGAUAUGGAUAAUGAUCAACAAGAUGGAAUUAACAAAAAAAGAAAGAAAAACAAAACCAUGUUCUGAUGGGCACUUACAAGAUCUGAUGAAAUCUAUGAGGAGUAUUAUGCUUGCACUAAUCAGAAUUGUUUGAUUAUCUGUGUAUAAGCAUUUUGUGAUUGUUUCUCAACUUUGUGAGAAACUACUAUAUAAUUUAGCCUAGUUUUGGUUGGUCAAAAUUUUUACCACCAUGUAAUUUUAUUAACAAUUGAAAGUGUGAUGAUACUAUAUGCUUGAUUAUGCAAGUAACUUUUUUGCUUUGGGGUUCAAUCUAAUUAAAAAUUGCUUCAACAUUGUGGUUGGAUAAUUAGUUAUUCUUGACUGAUCAAAAGAGGCUUAUUAAAAGGAAACGAUAGGAUAAAUGCUUUUUUUUUUAGUACUGAUACACAGAUGAAUAAUUGACCAUUACAGCUCAAAAUAAUGACACAAUUAUGCUCCUUCAGAGACUAAUUAGUGCUAAAUUUCCACUGUGGAAUAGUUAAUCAUGGGUUUUGCAAUGUCCACUAUGAACUAUAUAAUCAUGAGUCCUGUAUCAAACUGUAGUACAAUGUGCUGUUGAGCACUAAUCAAACAGAGAUACAAUUAUGGCAGAUUUAAAUAGUGUAGUACUGUUGCCUGCUGCAAGUGUAACCACAUCAUGAAUUCAAUGCCCUCACAAUAAUUACCAGUUCUAUCAGUGGACCAUGAAACUAUGAAUCUAAUGCUCCCCAACUACAACGAGAUAAAUGUUCUGAUUCUCAUAAAGUAGUAAAUAUAUGUCCAAUAAUGCAGUCUGAAAACAUAUCUUAUUAGCUAAAUCUGUGCAUUAGUACAACUUAGAUUACACUGAUCUUCAGGAUGAUCUCCUUGUGAGACUAAUUUGUUAUGGUUUGUCAAUGACCUAUGACUUUUAGGAGAAAAAUAUUCCUCAAAAGUCUACACUUGUGACCAAUAGGAUGUACACUUGCCCACCUAAAAGGAGGGGAGACUUCAAAGCCACAAGAAAAGAUUAAACAAGACAUGAUAGAGCUUAAGGUCUUCACAAGCUAUCAUUCCACAUUCCAAGGUUGAAGAACACUUCUCUUCCAAUUUUUGCUGUUAUUUUUAAGUGAAUUUAAUACUAUGUGGUAUUGUGCCGUGCCCAAACUCAAUAGAUGUAUCACUUACACAUUGAUAAUCUUGCCUUAAACCCAAAUUAUCACACAAGUACUUUAAAGUAGAAACAAUGAGAGAUGGGAACCUCAUAAACUUUUAUUUUGCUUGAAAUUGUUUAGUCUUUAGAUGCCUCUUUUACUUUUUAUUUCAACAAAUUAAAACCACCCCUUUUCUUUAUUGCCUAGUGGACUAAGCAUGGUCGUAAAGGAAGAUUCUAAAAAUUUUUAAUCUCACAAGAUUUUGUGAUUAACAUAUGAGAAGAGAUGAAAAGAUUGACAGGCAGCUUAAUCAUUGGAUUUGAUUUUUAGUGAUUCUAGUGACAAAGCAAGGAUAAAUACAAUGCUGCUCCUGUUUCACAGCUGGAUCCAGUGCAUGGAACACUGAUAGCGUAUAACCUAGAACCAUGAACAAGAUUGAUUAAACUUGAUGGAGCCAUGCACCCACAGGGGCCAGGGGUGGACCAUGGAUUUCAAUGGAUUUUGGAACCCCCCCUUUUAUUUGGUUCCUUCAUUCACCAGAGGCUAUAUAGGACAAUCGUUUGCUUUUAAAAUUGUGGUUGCAGACAGCAAUUAUUGACAGUAAAGGCUCCCAGUCCCAUAUGCGAUGAGAAAUCUGUAGAAGAGAGAGAGAGAGAGAGUAAAAUGUGUAGGAGGAAAUGGUUUAUCUUGUCAAGUUGAAGGAUAUGGAAAUUUGGACCUCAAUUAUGUGCUCCAUUUAUUACCCAACAAGAAAAGAAAAUGGGAUUUUGGACCACAUCCAAUAAAUCAAGAAAAAGUGAUGGAUCGAAAAUUGCCAAUAAAAGUUGAGGAUAUUGACUUGAGAAUCCUAUGCUUUAGUGAGAAAUAGCACAGCAAUAGAAGCUGUUGGUAAUAGUUUGCUAAAGGGAUUUGGUCCUUAUAGAAAUACAUUAUGUGAAGUGCAUCAAUUCCUGCCCCAUAGAUGUACUUUUAACUAGUUUGUAUUAGAAACUCUGACUUUUGAAAGCCUCUCCAAAGAUAAAAAAUUACAACAAUAAUAAUCAAACUCCCAACACAAUGUGUACCAUUGUUUAGCCAUCUAAAUAAGCAGCACAGCAAUAGGACCAAUCCAUUAUUAUGUCUACAAAUAUGUUUGUUAUUUUGUAGAAUUUCAUACACGAAUUUUGUUUCUCAUUUGCUAAGUUCUAUAAGUGGUAGUAUAUGACUCACUAUCCAGACUCGAUGAAGUGCAUAAAUUGGCGAGUUUUGUUAUACUAUUUGCAUGCUAUUUUAUGAUAAAUCUUUUCUGCACCGUUAGUGUAAAAUUUCUUUUUACACGAGUAGCCUUAAAUCCAUGUCAACAUUUAUGAAAAAAGAUUUUGAAAUUUAAAUAAAAAUUGUAUGUUAUAUAUCUAAACCUGUGCAUAUAUAAAAAUUUUUAUAUUGACAGUGUAAAAAAGAUUAAUCUCACUUUUUUACUAUGUAAAACUCAGAAUUCAAGAAAAGAAAAUAAAGCAAUAAUAGCGGACACCUACUUGAAUGGAUUUGGGCCAAGUAAUUGAGGUGUAAGGUAGACAGCUACUUGAGUGGCCCAGUUAUGGAAAUAUCCGUCAGAUUCUUGCUUGAAUGGGCUUGUACCCAUCCCACCAAGUGCUGCUCAGAUUCAAGGCUGAGCACUAGAUGCCCAAAUCCAAGAGCAUCUUUUGCCAGUUUUCUCUAUGGGCUCAACUUCAUUCAACAGGUGCAUCAACAACAGACUCGGUUUUCUCGUCUGUGCCGCAUUAUUACUUGCAAGAGUCAUCAUGGACCUACAAUUGUUGGUCAAAUGUCUAAACAAGAUUUGUCUGUGUGCUACACCUACUGACACUGAAAUAUAGCUUCAAAUUUUAGAGUUUUGAUAACAUAAAAAUGCAACACCAAAGGUCAUGUUUUCACUGUAGAUAAGAUUUGUAGUAGCAGUGGCAAGUGGCAACAAAUCCAAAUGUUAGUAUAUUUAAGUUCAAACUUGAAGAUAAUAACUUAGGUUUAAACUCGAGUUGGACCUCAACUAAUGCUAUAUUCGCGCGCAACGGAUCUUCUGUCCCACAUUCUGUGCUGCUCUCUAUCUCAUUUUUUUAUUAUAUUGCUAUUUUUCCUUCACAAACAUCAUGUUUUAAUUCUUUUUUAUUUCCUUAUGAUCCAAUAACCAUUAAUUGAGUAAAACAUAAUAUUUAACAAACUCAAAAAAUCAAAAUGCAUAAAAAAUGAGAUUUUUUAUGAAUUUUCUGCUGUGUUUUUUAAUUUUCUAUUAUAUAUUAGUUUUUUUUGAAGCUGUUGUAUUUAUUUUUUACUCAAUUAAUAGUUAUUGGAUCAUAAGGAAAUAAAAAAGAAUUAAAAUAUGAUAUUUGUGAAGGAGAAAUAGCAAUAUAAUAAAAAGUGAGACAGAGAGUGGCACAGGGUGCGGGACAGAAGAUCCGUUGCUAUAUUUCAAGUGCUUGAAAUUGACUCGAUAAAAUACCAAGGAGUUUGAGCUCUCUCGAGCAAGCAAAAAGAGCUCAAAUUGAGUUCGAACUCGAGUUUGUCCGAAACAAGAAUUUGACCAUAUAUGGAGAUUUAGGCAAUUUCAUCAUUAUAAAAAAAAACAUAUAAAAACUCAACGAGUUUUCAAAUUGAAUAUCUUAAUGCUCAAAAACAAUGUGGUAAAGGGUUCGAACAGCUCGAGUUUAAGUCAAACAUUUGACUAAACUGCUCGUGAGUUGCUCAGCUCGUUGUCACAACUAAUCUGUAGUGGCAAGAAGAGAGUUUCUUAGACAUUACUCCCUCCGUUCCUUAUUAGAUGGCCUGAAUAACUAAUUCUCUUAGAUUAAGAAAGUUGGUUAUUUUCUAAAAGUCAACAAAAGUUUAACUUUACUUCUCAAAAUUACCCUUUAUCUCUCUUCAUCUCUUCAACUACUUUUAUUGUUAAUGCUACAAAUACUGCAUUUAAUUAUUUAGAGUUCCAAUUCAAGAAAGUUGAAAGGGUAAGCAAGGGUAAAUUUGGAAAAAAGUUCAUAAAUGCUUUCUUGAUAUCAUAAAAUGACAGAUAAAAAGAAACAAUGGAUUAGGACAUCUAAUAAGGAACGGAGUGAGUAUUGAAUAAUUAAUUAUUAAUUGGGAAAUGAAAACAACAAAACUUUAAGAGAGACGGUGUGAGAAAGAUCCUUACAGUGCAUGCUUUCUCCCAAGCCCAAGGAGCUCGAAAGUUCGAACCUUUUGACUAAAUCCGUGACAACCUGUGUUGCUUUCCGCUUUUUGAGUACUACAAAUCAAAUUUGACCUUGCUCACCAAUGGCAGUGAUGGCCACUGUCAGUUCACAGCUGGUUGUAAUUAAUCAUCGUAUUGACUGGGAGGAAGUUUUACACCGACCUUUCUUUUGUCCAAGGACCAUCUAAUACACAUGUACAGGUUUGUUUGGAUUGUGUUUUAUUUCCCCAAUUUUAUCUAUUUACAUCAUCAUUAUAAUUUCUAAUACACCUUUUUAUCUUUUUAAUUAUCUUUUUAUCUCACACACAUCACAUCACAAAAAAUGCUACAGUAAAAAUAUUCUAAAUAAACACAAUCCAAACAAACCCAUUUCUUUGCAAGGAGAGGUGAAUAAAAAACAAAAUUGGACCUACGUUAAAUACAAAUUUGGAAUUUAAUUUCUUAUCUUUCUUCAAUUUGUAGGUUUGAAGGGUUGGAAAUUGCUCAAUUUCCACUGGCUGUCGUUAGCAGAGACACAAUUAGUAUGUGGUGCCUAGGCCAAGAUUUUAUCGCCAAGCUUGCCCCCUAUUUGGAUUGUUAUUUUCUGCGGGAAAAUUACGUCGUUUUCCAUGAUCACAUUUUUCUAUUAUAUUUCCCUCUCACAUACAUCAAAUCGCUACAGUAAUUUUUUCAUGAAAAAUGCAAUCUUCGAAACCACAUGAAAUGUAACAAUAGCAGAAAUCUGUCUCUAUAUUAAAUAAUACUCCAUCUUUUUUGUUAAACUAUAUAAAAUGUAUUUUCAAGUCUAAAUUAUGUUCAAAUUUAACAAUAAAGAGUUUAAAAACGCCAAAAAAAAGUUUAUCCUUAAAUUAACAUAUAGAUAUUUAAAACAGUAUAUCCUUGGUGCAUCACAUAUUUAAUUAGGGUUGUGAUUAUUCAAUAAUAGCUCUACAAUAAUCAAAGUUUAUAAAAUGCAUCCGUUAUCUUCAACUCUAAUCUUGGAAUUUGACAUUUUUGAGUCUGUCUCCUCCCAACCAAACCACCCCAUUCCACUUGCUAGCACUUGAUUUUGACUAAUAACAAGGACUAAAAACCAACCUGCAGCUAGCAGUUUCCUGAUCAUCCUUCAUUCUCAGCCAGUAGCUCAGGGCAAGAACUACAAGCCAGAAGUCCAUCACCUUCACCAACUGGUUACAACCUUGAUAACAUGAGGUCCGCAGCGUUAAUUAUCCCUGGCCUUCAAUGGGAUCCAGUGCCAUCAAAAUUUGUGAUUUUACAGAUUGCCAAACUAUAUGGCAUACACAGACUAAUGUACAAUGUACAAAACUAGUAUCUUGAUGCAGAUUUAAUGUAUAUAUUGUUGGUUAAUUAGAUUCAGUCAGUCUGCUCGUGCUUUUUCUACAUUGAGUUACUUGGCCUGCAAUCCUUUCACUAAUGUUGUUAUAGAAGUGUAGGCGUGUACUACUAUAACACUUACAAAAGAAUAAUAAAAAAAGAGAACUAGAAAAGUCUUUCUUCCUAAAAUGAGGAUUAGAUUUCAGCUCAUCCCAUUUUUGAAUUCCUAGUCCGUCCUUUCUAUUCUUUAAGAAAACUAGGACCCCGUUUAGAUUGAAUUUUUUAGGAAGUUUCUGGAGAAAAAAAAAAUACUGCAACAUGACAUAUUUUUAAAACGUGAUAUAUGUGAGAUAAUCUGUGAUUAAAAUGUCUCUAUUUUUAAGAUGUGAUGUAUGUGAGAUAAUCUGUAAUUGAAACGUCGUUGUUGUUGGAGUGAGUUAACUAUAAUUAUCUAAUUUUUUGAAUUUAAAUUGUAUAUUUCUUGAAACUUAAGUGGCAAAUGACUUUCCAAAUUUAUAGACUAAAUUCAAACAUACAGAAGGCAAAAUUAUUAUCAAGGGUAGGCGAAGAACCAGUGUUGAUUCCCUACUACAUGAAGCACACUUGUUUCAGCAAUUUCGCUAGACUCAAAAUAUUUUAAGUAUUUAAUACCGAAGGAAGCUUCGGUAAUCAUAAGCAACAAAAUCCUAGUUGUUGCCAUUCCUGGAGAUGUUUGUCCUUUUCUCAUGAACUUAGAAGCGAUCUGUCAUGCUCAGUUUGGAAUUGAGAAUUCCGAUUGCUUUUUUGCUUAUUCUAAUCAUUUUUCGAAGUAUGAACUCUUGAACGAGCUUCCAUGCAUUAAAGCACCGUCCACUCCAGUUUACCUCUGACCGGCCGGUCUUCAGUCUUCACUCGGGCAUCUCCUUUAUGGUCCAUCCGAUGUUUUCGUGGCAUCCAAAGAUUUCAAUGCUGUGUCUUAUUGUCAUCCUUGUCCGAUUGGAUCCAGUCCAUACAGCUGUCCCACAUGAAUCAGAUGUACUCUUGGUCACUAUGACAUGGUACCAAGCGUCUAAUAGUAGUGUCUUAGCACGCAUUCUUGAAUGUAUUUUGAUUGAAUACUUUUUUUUGCUCGACAAAAUUUCUCAAUUGAUAAUAUUAUCUUGGCCAAAUUACAUAGGACCAAAUUUGUGUUGUUCUCAUCCAACUUGCAUAUAUGGGUCUUUUUUUUUUUCUUUUCUAAUAAUUCCUCUCAUCCCUCUUCAUAGCCUCUUGCAUCCAAUCACGAGAAUUCGAACUUUGAAUUUGAUAAUGAAAAGGAUUCUGAGAGUCUUGUCUUGAUUAUUUAAGCAAACCCUGAUAAGUAAAACCUACGUACUAUGUUCUUUGCAAAAUUGUACAAGUUAUUUGUCAUAAAUUAUAAUAUGUUUAUAGAUUGUACAUUGUGCUAAAAUAUUUGCACUAUCACCCCUUGUUGUGCAUACCAAAAUUACUAUGUGUAUUCUAAAUAUGACCAUCCACGUCAAUCAAUCCUAAGUCCUAACCGUCAAGAUGAACCAUUUUUUGAUCCAAUUAAGAGCACGGUUACACCUAACAAUAGGGAUACAAAAUGUAGUACUAAUAUUUAAGAGAAUCUCUAAAUUAAACAGAAAUUUUCGCAAGAGCAUAGGCAAUAUCCUCCAAUGAAAAGAAAAAGUUGUUUAGAGAAACCCUUAUAAUUUCAAUCUUCAAUUCAUCUAGACCCCACCCCAACGGUCCCUCAAAAGUCACAACAGUUAAACUACUCUAAUCCUUGCAUACAUUAAUUAAUGCAAUUAAAGUACUAUAAAGCAGGAAACCUAAUUGACCCAUGGACCAGUCCUACUCCUGUGAACUCAAUUCUGAACUUUCCCCCAAGCUUCGAGCUUUCAAACCACGCGGAUCUUCACAGCUCACAAGAAUCUGUACACUAAGUUCUCUUUCAAUUCAAUAAACUGCCUUGUGUGUAUCCUCCUGCCUACUUACAGCUCAUAGGUCUCUCACCAAACACCCAAGUCUUUCUAUUUCCUCGUAACAAUAUAAACCCUCCUCAGGCCUCCCAUCUCAGAGCUCAUACAGCCUUACUUCUCCAUCUUUUACAGUACCCAAAUAGACCUCACGUUGUACUAAAACCAUUUCAGCUUUACACUACAAGAAGGAAGAAUAGAUAUCACAUCAUUAUCUCCAACCAUCUCAACUGGAUCAUGGGUAAAUCUGUUUUCGCUUUCUUGAUCCUGUCUGGGAUUUUCAUGGUACAAUCUAUGGCUGCUAGAUCAGAGCUGAAGGUCCAAGAACUGGUCCAUUUGUCAGCAAAAAUGGAGAGAAGCAUAGCUGAUCCACCAGCCGUUGACAAUGGGGCAGCUGAUCAUUCAAAAGAAGAAGGCGGAUUAACAGAGGAAACGGCUGCUGAAGCUCCUGAUCAAGUUGUAGUUAGAAAGAUGUCUAAGCAUCAUUCAACUGAUAAGUCUGUUGCUGGUGGUGGUGUCAUUAUCGGUGGACUUGUGGCUGCUGUUUUUGCUGCUGUUUAUUGCUACAUUCGGGUCACCAGAAAGGAAUCAUCUUCAGAUGUUGAAAAACAUUAAGCAAGAACUUAGUAAUUUUCACUUCAACUGUUGGAGUUUUAGAGUUAUAUAUAUUAUGCACGAAUAUGUAUUCUCAUUACUCCACGAUUUUACUAGCCAAAGAACAGAGAGUAGGUGUGAAUAUUAGAGACCAGAAGAAUGAUACGCUGAGAUUUUAUAGUGCUAUUUUGGUGAGGGAUUUGAUUUAUUUUUCAUACCUUUGAAUCAAAGGCUUUGAUGAUGGGCUUUCAAUUUGGUUAUGUACAAAUUGAGGAUAUUGGAAGUGCAAUUAUCAAUAAUAAUAUACUCCUAGUUGUUAAUUCUGCACAAAAAAUAUAAAAGAUUUCUAGCUUAAUAUUCUCUUUUAUAAUUACUCUUUGUUUAUGUACUUGCGUGGUUUAGAAAUGGUUGUAUUUACAUAUGUUUCGAUUUUCAAGAACUCUCCUUUCUCCAGCCUCUCCCUCCUGUCUCAUAAGAUUUGAAGUAUCGUUAAUUGACACAGAAGCCGUGGAAUGUGCCGUAGUAGGUGGGAAUCCCCGAGAAGAGCGGAGUUAGAUUUGAAGAUUCUCAAGUGUCUGCCCUCCAAGCACAAAAUUCCAAAUUCCACAUUCUAUAUGUAUAUAGUAAGGUACAAAUUCAAUUUUAUUUUCCCCUCCCUUUCUUUACAAAUAAUAAUAGUAAUAAUAGUGAAAGGAUUUUUUUUAAUAGGCGUCUCAAACAUUUAUUCAUUAUGCCAUAAUUUACGUCGAACUAAAUUUUGUUUGAUAAUUCAAUUCAGUACUUAAAUUUAAUCAAUUCAAAUGUUAACAUAUUCAAACCUUUUGAUAACCAGAAAUUGAACAUUUGAAUUAAUUAAGUGGUAUUGAAUUUCUUAGGUAAAACUUACUCUUAAAAUUAAGUGCUAAACUAUUUACUUAUCAUUGAAUGUGAUAUGCACUCAAAUGUAUUAAUUUUAAUAUUUAACAAUUCAAUAAUUUAAUGGAUUUCAGAUUUCAGAUAUCUGAUUUCAGAAUUCAAUUUUAUUGGACGCACCCUAACUAUUUACGUACACAUACACACAUCCACCCUGUAUUUAGAUACAUUUCAAAGUAAUUUUAUUUUUAUUAAGAAAUUAACACUAAAAACUUCUCUCAACGAGUGUCCCUAGCGUCUUAGCCAAAACAAAAUAACUAGUCUUGUAAACAUUUAAAAUCAAAACCCCAAUUUUUAAUUCUCCUGGAAUCUUGGAGCUUUGGGCCAAGAAAAAAUAGUCAAAGAGAAUUACCGAAGGUCCUCCUAUUCCUCACUUGCCACCCUCACAGGUGCCAAAUGGUAACAGCAACUCCAUGUCUUCUUCUAAGCAACAAAAGAUCUAGAUCCCACGUGCUGACACACCACUAGGUUCACGGUAAGGAGAUAGGAACGAUUGUCAUACCAAUGGUUCUUGAAAUAGUGUAAUGUGAUUUCAGCCAGUUAUAAGACACGUUUAAUUACUUAUAUAUAACUUGAUAACAUUGAUGUGAUUUUCUAUUCCUGAUUAUGUGAAUUUCAUAUAUAAUAAUUAUGUGUUGAUUAUAAAAUUUUAUAAGUAGUUAGGUGUGUUAUACAACGUAUUAAUAAAUUACCAUAUUGUACAAUUGUUCCUGCCCGGUACGGCGGUACCUGAGUUCACUCUGCCUCAAAGAGUUGUGGUUAUGUUGUUUUGCUCGCCUAUAAAGAGAGAUUAUAGGAAUAUCAACGCUCAAUUGAAAACAAGAACAAUCAAGUAUGUGCUUAAUCCAAGCCCCAAGAAUCCAUAAACACAUGGGUUAAGAGCUAAUCUUCUACUAGAGGAAAACCUUGGAAAAUGCUAAAACCAAAAUUUGAAGUGAUCAUAAAUGAUAAAAAAAAAAAAAAAUGCGGUUUGACUUUUGACUUUUCACAGGAUCACUUAGAAGACCUAUUCAAGGACGAGUUUUUCUAUAGGUCCUGAAAAGUUGGAUAAAUUUUCUUUCGCUUCAACCAGGGAGGACAGCUUUUCUUUUUCUCUUCUUUUUUAUUUGCAAAUUAUUUCGUUCCAUCUUUUCCUUUUUUUUUUUUUUUAAUAUUUUUAACUUUCCAAAAUUUAAGCUCCUUUCAAACCAUUUAGUCGUAAAUAAAUGAAAGGAUUUUGCAAAGAGGAGUCACAAUAAUGUCAUCAGUAGGCUUUGUUUAAGAUUUGCACAUUUCUUGGAAUCUGUUUUAUAAUCGUAUUAAGAUUGGCCACCACUUUCUCACUUUUCUCAACAAAACAUCCAAAAUUCAUAGUGGAAAUCAUCAAACAUGAUUCUCUAACAGUUGAUUCUCAGGCAUACAGUUUAUGGAAUACUAUGAACUAACUCUAACCGGCCAUAAAUAACAAGUGGUAAUUUUUCCGUUCUUAGGGCUAACAAAUGUUUUUUUUUCCAUGGAAGACAGGUUUUUCUUUUAAAAAACUUUUUUUUCUACCCUGCCACGUCUCCCAUAGCCUUUUCACUCCCAACUAUCAGGUUUAGAAUUCGAACACUAAAUCUAACAAUAGAGAGACGGAGAAGACAAGUGUUAAUUUGUUAGAGGGUCUUCACUUUGGAGGUAUACAUGGGUAUGCAAAAAAAUGAAUCUUGAUAUUUACAUGUGCUGCCAUUAAACCAACUUUCAAAAUUGUUUUCUAGAUACUGACAGAAGAAUGUUACAUGUCUCAGCUAAAGUUAACAGCAGGUUCCAAAAAUGGCUUGAUGACCCUCUAAUGGUUAUGUUGCAUGUUUCACUCGUAGCACACAAUUAUACAUCAAGCACGUGUAAUAUAUCUUGUGAUGUUAUGGCAGUUUUGUCCUCGUUCUAUACCUAUAUAUAUUUUGGGUUGGAGGGUCUUGAGCCUGCAAAUUUUGUCGUCGUUCUAUCAAAUAUUGAACUAAUCAAAGUACUUAUGUAAGAGACGAAAAAGUAAUUCAGUGUAACAUUUUAAAACCAUUCUUGGAACAUAUUUUGCGUGUACUUUCGCGUAAAUCUUCAUUUAAUUGAAAACUUAAAUGCAUGCAAUAUCAAGACAUUUUCACAUUAAAUUAAAAAGAUGAGCAUAAAGGGGAAUGGACGUGAAUUUUAGCCACAUUAAAGCACUAAUUGAACCCUAACUCAAGCUACAAGAGCUCAAGUUCAAACUCAUUAAAUUCCUAAAAGUAGAAGUAAGCUCAAGAUUGAACUCAAACUUGAUAACACUCAAGCUUGACAACACAUCAAGUUGGUCAAUUUCAUACGAAGUCAAGUUGCUCAGUUUGUUAAUUUCUAGUUCAAGAAACUUGAUUUAUAAUUUUCUCUCUACUUAUUUGCUCUCCCUGUCUUUUAUCUAUUCUCAACCUUCUUUCCACCUUUCUCUAUUGGAGGGAGAUCUUGAUCUCAAACUAAGGUCUCCUUUCCUCUUCUUAUGUUUUUAUUUUAUAUUUAGUAAAGUCUCUUAUAAGAUAUUUUAGUGAGAGUUUUCCCUCUCCUAGUAUUUAUUAAUGAGAAUUUUGUUUAGUUUUUUUAUCAUUUUUCUCAGAUUUAAUUUUUUUAGAUUUAUAUGUUAGAUCUGGAAUUUAUUGGAUUUUGUCGUCAGAUCUUAAACAUCAGUUUUGAAUUUAAACCAACUGGAUAGUAGUUAUAAGAGAAUAGACAUACACAUACAUUUAUAGAGCAACUUAUGCAGUUGGUUAGAUUUGAUGAUUUGUGAUUCAUAGUGUAGCCUUUCUUAUUUUGUAACUCUAUUACAUCUAAUGAUUUUUUUCAAAUAUGAUAUAUCCAUAAUAUGUUCUAUGUAAUUUCUGUCGUUGGUGCAGCUUUCUUUGUCAAGCAAAUUAUGCUGGAAGAUUUUCAACUAAUUUAUUAAUAAUAUUGGCUUCUGUUGCUCAGUUUGUUUAUGUAAGGGGAAUUACAUCUUAAUUGAAAUAGACGUAAUUACUAUAGAAAUUAUGUUUGGAUUGCUUGACUUUGCAUAUGGAUUCCUGUUUUCAUCAAAAAUUUGUAUUUCAAAUACAGGUUUACAAUAAUGCUAAUAUAAAAAAUACUCCCAAUAAAUCCAAAACUUCUAAAAUCUAAAUACAACUUACCUUAUAAUUACAAAAUAAAUAAAUAAAAAUAAAAUAUCAUCCCUUUUUCCUAUACUAAUACUCUUGCCACUACUUUCCACCUUCUGUUGCUACAAUUCCCUGUUUCUCUUCCUUUUUUCUAUCUUUCCCCUUUGUCUUCCUCUCUCUUCUUGCUUCUGUCCCUCUUCUCCUCCUCUCAUCUUCCUUUUCUUUCUAGGGCUGAAUCUAGUUAUUGGGAGGGAAGAGAAGAGGUCAGAGAGAGAGGAGAUGGGACAAGAAGAGGGAAAGGAAGGAAGGAAGAUGAGAGGACAAAAAAGGAAUCACAUUGACCAAAUCUGAGCAAGACAACAAGAUUUGGUUGCAGAAAGAACGGAAGGGGAUACAAGGGGAAGGGAACAAGGAGGAGAAAUGACGGGAAUAAUGGAAAAGAGAAAAAGGGAGUAGAGAGGAGGAGAGAAGGCAAAGAAAAAGAGGAAGAUCAAUGAAUGGGAUGGUAGCAGUGCAACAUCAUGCUACUAAGAGAGGUGAGUAGAGGUGGAGGGUGGUAUUGCUAGGAGAGGGGGGGGGGUGGAGAGGGAUGGUGGAUGGUUGUGGUAGGAAGGAUAAUUAAUUUUUUUAAAAUAUCUCCAUAAAGUUUUUAAAUUUUAAAAAUACCUUAAAAUACAUCUACAUAGUGAAAGUUUUUAAAGAAAAUCGUUCAAAAUAGUUUUCAUAUUUUGUCAAAUGAAAAUUUUCAUUCUUCACUUUUAAAAUGUUACUUUUGUGUUUCUUACAAAUUUAAGUCAGUAAAGUUUAGUUCCAACCUAUGUUUCCAACCAUUAUUUUUACCAUGAAUCCAUCAUGUGAUUUACAUAUAGUCACUUUUUAGAGAUAAAAAGAUUAGAUACCACUUGUUGAUAGACAAAUGACUCGAUCCACAAUCAUUUUUUCUUUAAAAAAAAUGUAAUAUAACCCAAACUAUAUCCAUUUUUUUCUUAAAAAAAAGUAAAAUUUGACCCUAUUCAUAUUCAUUUUUGCCCUUAAAAAAGUGGUUUUCAACCUUUUUUAUACCUAAAAAAUAGCCACAAGUGAGUCAUGUAGUGAUUUUACAUUAAAAAGUGGUCGGAAACCUAGAUUAGAAUCAAAUUUUGUUGACUUGAAUUUGUAAAGGGCAUAAAAUUAACAUUGUAAAAGUGAAUGACGAAAAAAAUUCAUUUAACGAAAUGUGGAGAUGUUUUUAACGAUUUUUCCAAGUUUUUAAUAUAAAAAAUUACAAUAACGUAUUUUAUAAAUACUUCUAAAAACAGCUAAUCCAAACGGUCCACAAUUUUCUCAAAUAUUAUUUUACUAUAUCAAAAACGUGUUUUCAAAUCAGCUUCUUAUUUUCCUAACUACCUUUUUGUCUCACAUACACAUUUUCAAUUAACUUUUUUUCUUUUCAAUCUUUUUUAUCUCACAUACAUUACAUUAUAGUGCUAUAAUAAUUAUUCCAAAUAAUGUUUUAAAUAAUCUCUUACCGGAAUGCUCUUAGGAUUUUUCUUUUCUAUGUAUGCUUUUGGUCAUUAUUAAGGUAAAGAAUUGCUUUUUUUCUUUUUUAACCCAAUCAAAUAUUGAAUUUCUUGCAGUUCGAGUCUGGUUCUUAACACACUAAUGGACUUUUUAUUUUGUCCUACAAAGCUGUUUGGUUCUUGAACCACUUUCUUGCCUUUCCAUCGUGAUUGGUUCCUCUCAUCCAGACGCGCUUGUCUUUGCUUUCCACGCCUUCGCGGCAAGUGUCUUGAACUUUCAAUCAUCUGGUCUGGGCCGUACUUAAAUGCAUUUUGGGCUACAUUGCAAUCAUACUCGUGGCUCAAAAAAACUGAAAAUUCAAGAUUUUAAAAUUCCUAUUGAUGCUUUGAUUUAAUGCCUAUGAGGUGUUUGUCCAUAUGCUUGAACCAUCAAUUCAUUAUUUCACGCUUUCCAUAGAUGUUUUCUUGUACUACAAUGUAGAUUUCUGGGGCUAAAAAUAGAACAUCUUCAGCCGAGGUUCAAAAGGCCCUGACGCUAUUUUUGGCCUGAAACACACAUUGGCAAUUUGCCUAAUGAGCAAGGAGUAAAUUUCUAAAUUAGUAAUACUUUUGAAGGAAAAUUCCAAAAUAGUGAAAAUUCCGAAACAAAACGUGUCUUGUAAACAAGAGUAAAAUAUAGUUUUGUAUCUAAACUUUAUCCUUUGAGCAAUUCUAGUAUCCAAAUUUUGGAUAAAAGCAAAUCUACCACAUUUGGUACCCUUGAUAGGCCUUUUUUUUUUUUUUUUUUUUUCAAAUUUCCAAUGAAAAAAUCACAUGCUGUCACAUGCUUGACAACAAAAUUGUGAAAAAGAUUUUACGUUUAUACCUAGUUGAAGGAUCUUCAAAUUGUUGUUUCAAACUCUUACAAAUAGAAAAUUUCGUAAAUUUUUUCUUAUGAUUUCAUGGUUGAAUCCAUAAAGGUUCGAUUGAAAUAAGGGUAUCAAAGUUUUUUUUUCUUUUUUUAUGAGAGGGUAUGGAUAGGAGAGGGAAGUCUUAAGCGUGUAUGAUUAUUAGCUCAAUUGGGUAUUUUUAUAGCAUAAGUUAUUUUCUUUUUAAAUGUGUGACUUAUAUAUUCUAUUAGUCCUUAGGGGGGAAGGAUGGGUUGGGUGUUACGGGAGAAGGGAGUGUAAGCAAGAGGUCUCAGGUUCGAGUCCUCCUACUUACACUAAAAAAAAAAAAAAAAUUAGUCCUUAAACUGGCCACGAGUUAAUAGGUAUUUUAGUUAGCAAAUGAUUUUUUUUUCCAGUAGGAAUUUGAAAAAACCCGUGAAAAAUACCAAAUGUGCUUAAAUGUUAGUAUACAUCAGGUACCAAAUUUACUUUCGCAUUAAUUUUACUCUAAACAAUGCAUUGUGUGAAUACUCUCUUCUAAGGAAACAACUCAUUGUGUGAAUACAUCUUUCUAAGGAAACCACGAGAAUGCCUUUUUAAUCCUUCUAGGAAGAGGCUCUAAAACACCACCUUUUGGGAAUUAAUUUUAUAAAUACUCACUUUUUGGAAAUUUACUCGGAAAUGUGGAGGUAUGACUCGAGUGCCAGUUUGGGUCGAUCAAACGUGCAUUGUUAAGCAUACAAUCACCAUGAACUUUCAUUUGUUCCGUGUGAAGUCAGUCUUACACUUACUGUUGUCAUUGCAAGACAGCUUGCUUGGAUAGGACCAGAGCCAAAGUUGAUGAUUGUCUAAUGGUCCAAACUUUCUCAUUGCAUGAUUCUGAAAUAUCUCAGCUCUAUUUUCCGAAUAAUUGUUGUGAUGAAGACUGAUGUUUCUUGUCACUUUCUUAUUCCCUUUGGGGAAAAUUCAGGGCUAGACCUGAACUUUUGGAAAGCAAGUCGUUAGUGGGAGACAUGCUUUUGUCUUUUAAUCUCAUGGAUAGAAAAAGCAUCUCGUAAAGGAAAUUGACCUAUUAUGAUGGCUGAAUAGACAGUCUUGUUCUACGUGAAGUUAAUAUGAGAAAAUACCAGCUAAAACAGCAAAAUCAUGUCUGUUCAUUCACAGUACUGCAAAGGGAAUUUCACCACUGGGAAUCCUGAAUUAUAAAGCUAUAAACGAUCUUCUUCUAGUUCCAGAAAUUGCAUAUACAAGAUAAAAUAGGCUCCACUGACAAGAUAGUCCAGGAUAUUCCAACAGCUUGUUUGAAGCAGCACAUAUGUGAUCAGCAUACCAUUCCUUGGAGAUAUUGAUCUGUACUUUUUGGUAAGUUCACGCUUCUGUAAUAUCUGUAAUAGUUAUGGUUCUGACCGCUUCUUCUUAUUUAAUCUGAAUUUUUUGUUCUGUACAUGAACUAAGGAUGUAAGAGACUAAGUAGGAAUGCUUCCUUUCUCCAAUUUAUUCCCAAGAUCUUGAAGAACAUACGCUGUUAAUGCCUUGACAUGGACCUUCUUCUAAUAUGGAAAGGCGUGCCAGAUUUACAGGAUGAUUAUAUAUCAAUGAUGUUUUGAUUUGAUUUCUUGUACUUCAGUAUCCAUUGGACAGGUUAACAACCUUGGGAGGUGGUUCCUGUGGUAAGGCCACGAUUGUUAGUCAACUGAAACUUUCUAUAUUCAGUGGGAUAAAACACCGUAACUCCGGGAAGCAACUUUAUCCUAUUCCUGAAAUAUGGCAUGUUUUGCUUCUCAAAAGCUGAAAAUGGAAGGCUAUCGUAGUACUAGAAAAGGGAAUGAAGAACUAUGAUUAGUCAUUGUGAAGUUUUUCCUGUUGGUGAGUGUGAAUUUCUUUAGACCCAAUAGGAGUUAAAAUCCAAGGGCGCAUAAAACUAGGUAAUGACUCAAAAAAAAGGUAAAAUAAACAGUUCGAACACAUAUGAUAUAAACUUCUGAAAGAUCAUUUCAUAAUGUUUUCAAGACUAAUAACUAUGUCUUCUCAAGAAAUCUGUAUUAUCAGUCUUCUUAAGUUAAAGCAGCUAGACAAAUAUAAAUGCGUCCAAAUAAUAUGCUUGUUAAUGUACUUCUCCCAGAUUGAUCAGAGAUGUCUGCAAUUUAUGACAAUUGGGAAAGGCUUGUUCGAGCCACCCUUCGCAGGGAGGAUCUCCUGCUCACUGCUCUAAGGACUCCCAGCGAUAUUUCUACAGUAUCAGAAUCAUCCUCUUUUAAUUUCUCUGACCCCUCUCACUCAGCUUCAUCUUUCAACAUCUCCAGCUUACUAGUUGGAGAUUCUUUUACCUACCAUCAAAAUCUCCAAGCCACAGACUACAUUAGUGGCACCAAUCUCAUCAAGCACCGCGGCUCAAAUGUUGGCCUUAAGGGUGCACUAGUGAAUGCAGUAGCUCAAGAACUGGUGAAAGAUUUAGCUCGUGCAACCCAGCACGAAAGCAGAUAUGCCCUUCAAUUUCCAACUCGGUUCAGAAUUUUGGAGGAAGAGCUGAAAUUUAUGCAAUCAUUUGUGGCUGAUGCAAGCAAGCUCAAAGACGGGCAAGAAACAGUCAAGGCAACCUUACAUGUACUGCAACAACUGAUCUACGAAGCAGAUGACCUCGUUCUCGAUUGCAAGAUUCAAGACGAUUACCGAAAAAUGAAGGGGACUUCCGGCUUCUAUUUAUAUCCCUCUGAAAUAUAUUUUCGCUAUGAGACUGGAAAGAAGCUGACAGAAAUCACCACCCGAAUUAAACGUAUGAGUGAAUACUUGAAGUCCUAUUACACCCCAAGUCAGCGUUCAAGUAGUGAAAAUGGCAAUGACCCAAAGAGGCGUUGGACUGCUCCGCUUAUCGACCAAUCUGAAGUCGUCGGCCUAAAAGAAGAUGUGGAGAAAGUAAGGGGCUGGAUUCUUGGUCAGAAUGAACCGCUGCUUCUUGCAAUUGUGGGGCUGGGGGGUUUGGGUAAAACCACCCUUGCAAAAAUGAUCUACAGAGAUGUGAACCUCACGAGACGCUUCCAGGAGAAAAUUUGGGUUUCAGUUUCUCAACCUGUCAAUGAGGACGAAAUCAUGAAAAGCAUGUUGAAGCAACUCAAUGCAGAUGGCAGCGGAUCACCUAAAGGCGACAUGCUGAGUACAAUUCAUGGAUUGCUUUCAGACAAAGCAUACCUGAUUGUCCUGGAUGAUGUUUGGAGCACUGAUGAUGGUUGGUGGGAACGGAUCUCUGGUGGGCUACCCGUGAAAGAGGGCCACAACAGCUGCAUUAUCAUCACAUCAAGAAUAAAGACGGUUGUCAAGAAUAUGGGAGUUCAGGAUGCACAAACUCAUCAACCCAGAUAUCUUAAUGAUGAAGAGAGCUGGAAAUUGUUUUGCAAAGUUGCACGCGUGUCUGAAGUUGAUGAACAAAACACCAAGUUAGUUGAAGAAGGAAAAGAAAUUGUUAAAAAAUGUGGGGGUCUUCCCCUAGCAAUCAAGACCGUCGGUGGUUUACUCUCAUCAGAGGAGAGGUCUUCCAUUAAGUGGAGGAAGAUCCGCGAGACCUUUCAUGAAAAGUUAACGAGUAUAGGAGCCAAUUGUUCGGAGCGUAACCCGCAUGUGAUUGCCUCUCUGCAGCUAAGCUAUGAUGAGCUUCCUGCUUUCUUGAAGCCAUGCAUAUUGUGCUUCUCGAUUUAUCCAGAGGAUUAUGAAGUUGAUGUUGACCAGCUGAUUCGCUGGUGGGUAGGAGAAGGAUUUCUCCGCGGCAUGAGCUCAGAAACUGCGACAGAAUUCGCUUUCAAGUCAUUGUCAGAGCUUAUCAGUCGGUGCCUGGUUGAAGUAGCUCAGCGAAGAAACUUUGAUGGCAGUUUUUAUACCUGCAAGGUGCAUGACAUGGUCCGAGAUUUGACAAUUAAAAUAGCAAAAGAAGAAGAUUUCUGCAGCUUCGAUGCAAAUGGAAAACAUAUUGCUGACGUCUGCUCCCGUCGACUUGGAGUCACACAAGAGACAAAGUUAUCUGCCCUUCGAGGAAACUCAAAGCUCAGGGCAUUACUUCUAACCACAACCCAUUAUAUCAGUUUCAAUAGGAAUACAGAGUUGGCAAAAAUCAAGUCUCUCAGGGUACUGGACCUCUCACAUGCCAGACUAGACUAUGUUUUUGUGAAGGAUCUUUGGAACUGGAUCACUUCCCUUAAACGCCUAGCUUGUUUGAGCCUCAGAGAUGUUGCACAAUUGCUUGAAGUCCCAAACUCAAUCGGCAAAUUAUUGGGCCUCCAAGUGCUGAUUCUGGGAGAAUGUAAAUAUCUUAAAAAGCUUCCCACUUCAAUUGUAAAACUUCCAAGAUUAAUCAUCUUGGAUGUUGGCAAUUGCCCAAGUCUUCGGUGUUUACCACAAGGGUUCUCGAGACUUUCUAAUCUCCAGAAGCUGUAUGGAUUUAAGAUAGCUGGUCCUGGAAAUGCUGCCGGUUCCCACCUUGCAGAGCUGAAGGCUCUGACUGAACUUCGUGUCCUGCAGAUAGACUUAACUGAAGAUAGCACUAUUGAGGAUCGGGAAUUGGAUGCGUUGGAACUGCUGGAGAAACUAAAGCUUUUGUCCAUUAAUGCAGGUGAUUGCAAAGAUAAGAACAUUUUAAGCAAGAUGAAUAAAUUGUCACCCCCUUCUUCCAUCGAGGAAUUGUAUCUGAAGCAUUAUCUUGGAGAAACUACGCCAGCAUGGAUUAAUCCCAGGUCACUUCAACAACUGCAGUAUCUUUCUGUGGAGAACUCAGGAAUAGAAAAGAUGAACCAAGAAUUUUGGGGAGAUGAAGAAUAUAAAUGGGAUGUCAAAGGGUUGUGUUUAAAGUUCUGCCAAAGACUUGAGGUGUCAUGGGAAGAAUUGCAAGCAGUGAUGCCUCAGAUCAGACACCUGGAGGUUAGCCAGUGUAAUUUACUGGCUUCAUUUCCUUGUGAUGUUGAGGCUGUUGGGUUCUGGCACAAGGACACUAAGGAAAAAAAUGUGUCAGAGAAUGUAUUCAGUCAAGAAGAUUGAAAGCAGCUAGACGACAUGGUGUCAAGAGGUUAGUCAGUGUAAUUUGGUGGUUUCAUUUAAGAUUGAAAGCAGCUAGAUGACAUGGUCCGAUCUUGGGAAAGCAUUAUCAAAGUUUGACGUGAUCUGUAUCCCGGUUCUUGGACAAUAUGUUGUGGCAUUUGUUAGUGAUGUGAAGUGUAUUUGUAUAUGCUGAACUUUACUAAUUUACUCAUUGUUACUUUUUUCUCUUCCAUGUUGAUCAUGUAAGCCUAAUUUGGAGUUGGUGCUUUCAAAAUAUGAUUUUUCCUUUCUAUGAUGGUGUGCUUUUAAUCAUUACUAUACUAAGUGGCGAUAGAAAUAAACUAAAAGAUGGCCCAUCUCAUUGAUUUUAGAAUUGCACGUUUUGGAAAGAAACAGAAAUAUAUUUUGGUCUAUGACAAGGCUCCAAGUCUUACAAGGAGGAGGGGAAAGGGGAGAGCUUGAGAGUGAACAUCAUUCUCACCUGACUAAUAUCUCAUCAGUAAAACUCUGGAUCUUAGGGACCAAAAAAAAAAAAAAAAAAAAAAA